UGGGGAAUUGUUCGCAAUGGGCGCAAGCCUGACGACGCAACGCCGCGUGGAGGAUGAAGAUCUUCGGGUCGUAAACUCCUGUCGAGCGGGAAGAACACUUUCCGGGUGAACAAUCCGGAAGGCUGACGGUACCGCUAAAGGAAGCCCCGGCUAACUCCGUGCCAGCAGCCGCGGUAAUACGGGGGGGGCAAGCGUUGUUCGGAAUUACUGGGCGUAAAGGGCUCGUAGGCGGCCAACUAAGUCAGACGUGAAAUCCCCAGGCUCAACCUGGGAACUGCGUCUGAUACUGGAUGGCUUGAAUCCGGGAGAGGGAAGCGGAAUUCCGGGUGUAGCGGUGAAAUGCGUAGAUAUCCGGAGGAACACCGGUGGCGAAGGCGGCUUCCUGGACCGAUUACUGACGCUGAGGCGCGAAAGCUAGGGGAGCAAA
This 427-nucleotide ribosomal RNA is filed under the name uncultured bacterium. RNAcentral describes it as "bacterial SSU rRNA". It matches the Rfam family "Bacterial small subunit ribosomal RNA", at positions 355 to 772 of the family's 1533-position model. The record is from RNAcentral.